Molecule: ribosomal RNA, 737 nt
Filed under: uncultured Staphylococcus sp.
Lineage: Bacteria; Bacillati; Bacillota; Bacilli; Caryophanales; Staphylococcaceae
Description: bacterial SSU rRNA
Rfam family: Bacterial small subunit ribosomal RNA
Source: RNAcentral
GUCGAGCGAACAGACGAGGAGCUUGCUCCUCUGACGUUAGCGGCGGACGGGUGAGUAACACGUGGAUAACCUACCUAUAAGACUGGGAUAACUUCGGGAAACCGGAGCUAAUACCGGAUAAUAUAUUGAACCGCAUGGUUCAAUAGUGAAAGACGGUUUUGCUGUCACUUAUAGAUGGAUCCGCGCCGCAUUAGCUAGUUGGUAAGGUAACGGCUUACCAAGGCAACGAUGCGUAGCCGACCUGAGAGGGUGAUCGGCCACACUGGAACUGAGACACGGUCCAGACUCCUACGGGAGGCAGCAGUAGGGAAUCUUCCGCAAUGGGCGAAAGCCUGACGGAGCAACGCCGCGUGAGUGAUGAAGGUCUUCGGAUCGUAAAACUCUGUUAUUAGGGAAGAACAAAUGUGUAAGUAACUAUGCACGUCUUGACGGUACCUAAUCAGGAAGCCACGGCUAACUACGUGCCAGCAGCCGCGGUAAUACGUAGGUGGCAAGCGUUAUCCGGAAUUAUUGGGCGUAAAGCGCGCGUAGGCGGUUUUUUAAGUCUGAUGUGAAAGCCCACGGCUCAACCGUGGAGGGUCAUUGGAAACUGGAAAACUUGAGUGCAGAAGAGGAAAGUGGAAUUCCAUGUGUAGCGGUGAAAUGCGCAGAGAUAUGGAGGAACACCAGUGGCGAAGGCGACUUUCUGGUCUGUAACUGACGCUGAUGUGCGAAAGCGUGGGGAUCAAACAGGAUUA